UCCCUUGAAGAACACAAGGUUGAUAGGUUGGGGGUGUAAGCAUGGUAACAUGUUCAGCUGACCGAUACUAAUAGAUCGAGGGCUUGACCAA
RNAcentral lists this ribosomal RNA (91 nucleotides) under Clostridium perfringens. Its description in RNAcentral is "partial 23S ribosomal RNA". It matches the Rfam family "Bacterial large subunit ribosomal RNA", at positions 2834 to 2925 of the family's 2925-position model. The record is from RNAcentral. Lineage: Bacteria; Bacillati; Bacillota; Clostridia; Eubacteriales; Clostridiaceae.